RNAcentral lists this ribosomal RNA (247 nucleotides) under uncultured bacterium. RNAcentral's name for it is "partial 16S ribosomal RNA". It matches the Rfam family "Bacterial small subunit ribosomal RNA", at positions 524 to 767 of the family's 1533-position model. The record is from RNAcentral.
UACGUAGGGUGCAAGCGUUGUCCGGAAUUAUUGGGCGUAAAGAGCUCGUAGGCGGUUUGUCGCGUCUGCUGUGAAAACUGGAGGCUCAACCUCCAGCCUGCAGUGGGUACGGGCAAACUAGAGUGGCGGUAGGGGAGAUUGGAAUUCCUGGUGUAGCGGUGGAAUGCGCAGAUAUCAGGAGGAACACCGGUGGCGAAGGGCGGGUCUCUGGGGCAGUAACUGACGUGAGGAGCGAAAAGCGUGGGGG